CCUACGGGAGGCAGCAGUGAGGAAUAUUGGUCAAUGGGCGCUAGCCUGAACCAGCCAAGUCGCGUGAAGGAUGACUGCCCUAUGGGUUGUAAACUUCUUUUAUAUGGGAAUAAAGUGCAGUAUGUAUACUGCUUUGCAUGUACCUUAUGAAUAAGGAUCGGCUAACUCCGUGCCAGCCGCCGCGGUAAUACGGAGGAUCCGAGCGUUAUCCGGAUUUGUUGGGUUUAAAGGGUGCGUAGGCGGGUUUUUAAGUCAGUGGUGAAAGUUUGCGGCUCAACCGUAAAAUUGCAGUUGAUACUGGCAUCCUUGAGUACGGUAGAGGUAGGCGGAAUUCGUGGUGUAGCGGUGAAAUGCGUAGAUAUCACGAAGAACUCCGAUUGCGAAGGCAGCCUGCUGGACUGUAACUGACGCUGAUGCUCGAAAGUGUGGGGAUCAAACAGGAUUAGAUACCCUAGUAGUC
Molecule: ribosomal RNA, 460 nt
Filed under: uncultured bacterium
Lineage: Bacteria
Description: partial 16S ribosomal RNA
Rfam family: Bacterial small subunit ribosomal RNA
Source: RNAcentral